AAAAAACAAAAGAUGAAGCUACUGAAAAGAGUUUGUUUUAUUUCCAGGAUCAAAUAUUACAAUAGGACAUUUACAUAUAUUUAUAAAAAAUGCAGCAGUUGUUUAUAUAGAUGAGAGAGGUUUCCUUGAGUUUGGUCCCUCCCAGCACAGUGAGCUGAAAUCUUCCAAAGACUUCUCCUCCUCCCACUCAGUUGCAUCAUAAUUAAAUAAAAUUGCUGCUGUACAAAAUGACAGGCAAAGUCACAAUUUUGCACAGUUAAAAACUACGUUUAUCAACUGGAGGAGCCAACUCCAUAAACAGACAUCUUGUAGCAAAGUGCACGAUGUGCCUGGUUAGACACCACACUUCUCAGACUCUUGAGUGACUCACAUUUUUGUCAAUUAAAGCUGUUCUAUAAAAUAGCACCACAUCCCCCUCCAUCUAGGUUUAUACUACAUCCUCUUAUGACUCAAAAGUUCCUAUACCUUUAAACAAUUAUAAGAUACAGGAUUAUUACUCUCUUCUGUACUGAAGGUGUACUGGUGGAAAUAAUGACAACUGACAGUGACUGAGUCCAGAAUUUCUAUAAUUAUUAGUAAUGUAUUUUUGCAUAAAGGUAGAUGACAAAACUGAGGCAAUUUAAGGCAUAAGGCAGUGACACUAAGUGCUGCAUUCUUCAAUAAAAUGCCAGUAUGGCCAUUUUUACUGGGACUGGAUAGACACUGUAAAUGAUCUCACAGCUAACUAUUAACAGAUUCGAAUAAAAUUCUCCUGUAUGACACAAGGCUGUGUCUAUUAACCUCACAGGUUCAAAAAGUAAACAGCAGAUCAUAACUGAGCUGGAAUAAAAUUGAGCACUUUUCUGGCAUAUAAGGGAAAAUCCUUGUAAAAUAAUUCUUUUAGAAUGCCUAUAGCAGUAAUGUACACAGAUUUCAACAGCAAUUGUCGAAAUCUGUUCUGAUUAAUUUGCAGAGGAACUAGCUUGAAUUUGGAAAUUAAUGAAAAUUCCAACCCAGGUAGGUGUCUGGCACAUUUGUGUGUGUCAAUACUUUACCCAAUUUUGAGUUAUUUGAUUAAAAGGAACAUUCUAGCCUUUACAUAACAGGGGAAGAUUGCUUUUUAAAAAAUGUUAACACAGCAUGACAAAAGGCAUGCCUACCUAUCCUUCACGUGACUGAAGGCUGUCAGUAUUUAUACUUAAUAUAGCAAAACCAUGUCCAUAGAUCUCCAUGCCCUGGACUGCAUCACUGUUAACUACUAGCUUGGUAAAAGAAAAGAUGAAAAAAAAACCCUAAAGACAUGACUGUAAAUUGAUUCAGCAGUUCUGCUGAAUUAGGCAAGAAGAGUGGGGGGAAAAACAGCUAGUAUCUAGUCCACAAAGCCACUACAAGGAUAACUGCUAAAGGGACGUCUCAAAGGAUACAUCCAGUUUCACCCAGACAAGUCUCUGUAACAAAUUUUCAGCCAACCUCAAUACAUGAAUAGCAUUAAUCACUUGUCUAUCUGUAUUCAUCUUUACACAGUUUGGCAUUUGGAAUAAGGAUAGAAGACCAAUGAGUUCUCUCACGUGGUCCCUUAUUUUCCUCCUAGAAAAAUUAUGAUUUGUAGAUAGAAUUCUUAUGGUCCUUCAGUGCUAGUGGACUCAGCACUCCAGUUGGGAAGAGCAAACAACAAAUGGAGAAACAGACUUCUUACCCCAAAAGUUACAUUCUAAUCAUCACAGUCACUAAUUAGUCAUGUACAGUACUGAUUGUGAAGGUCAUAUACCACUCAGCUGAGAAUCUACUGGGCUGUACCACAUAGCUACAUAUGCAGUUCUGUGUGAGCUCUACAGAUCAAACACUCAGAACAGAAAAGGUGAAAGGUAGUUAUACUGUACUAGCACCCAACUGUUGGUAUAUUUAAUCUGUUUGGCCAAUAUUGCUAUUGAAGGGCAAGCUGGGUUUUAAAAAAUUUUUUUAAGAUUUCAGGACGUCAAUUAUACUCUUAAAACAAAGCUGUAUUCUGAGCAGACUGAGUACUUGGUGCUGUCAGUUAUUUAGCUCAUUCAAACUUUUGUAAAAUGCAUAAAUAUUAUGGGGAAGUAACAAGAAGAAUAUGGAACACUGAAAUGAGCUGUUCCUUUCAGUCUACAAAUCCCAUUUUAACUGCAGUCUGUACAACUAUGUGGGUAAGUCUACCGAAACAGAAAGACAGUGAGGGUUUUGUUACAUCUGCUAGUUUUUAAGAUUGUGCACAAGUGUCUGAGGCAAGGCUGUAUUUCAUCAAAUGGUUUCUAGCAACAGCAUAAACCAUGAUAGCAGAAGUAGAGGUUUGUAUGCAUUGUAUGUAUCUCAGAUGAAAAAUGCAGAAUUAUAUGCAACUGAGUAUUUACAACACUAAUACUAACAAAUUACAGGCACCUAAAUUUCUAUUCAACUAUCCACACUGGUUAGCAAUGGAAUGCAUCCCCCAUCCCCCAAAGUUUUUCACUCUACUGUACUAACAGACUAGCAGAUUUGGCUCUUUUCGAAAAGCUUUGAUGUAGCACAGCUAAGGAAAUGCUCUUUAAACAACUCCUGAUAACUCUGACACCCUUUGUAAUACUAUACUGUGUCACUAUAAUUUAAUAACACUUUAAAAAUAAGACUUUAAAAGCCUGUAAUUACAAGGCUAUUAGACAAUUUCAAAAAGAAAGAGCAUGAGCACAUUUGGUGAUUUACCAGGGAGUGCAAUGUGCAUCCAGAAGCAAAGCUUAGCAUGUGAGUGUACAAUACCAAUCUUUUAGGUCCUAAUUCAAAGCUCACUGAAGUCAGUGGAAAGACUCCCAGUUGCUUAUGCUCAGGCCCUCACUGCCUUCUCUAGGCAGAGUGUGUUGCAAGGUUGAAGCUUUCAGUCAGCUUGCUAUACUAUAUGCUGUGUCUGGAAACCUAGCACAGUAGCAACCGCUCGCUCUACAUGGGAGUGGAGGAGAUGACUAUAAGAGGACCACGGUUCCCAGUAUCCUGGGAGUCACUCAUCUCAAAUUCCUCCUCAGUAGGGAUGAACCAAUAUCAUCAUUAUCAUCAUCCUUUAAAUCGAUGCUCUCUUAAUCUGAUGUUUAUAAAGCUACUGUACACAUCAACUCCUAGUCAUGAUUAACUGCAAUACACGAUUAAUUUUCAAGGAAUGAACAGAGUUGGAGAGCAAAACAAGACAAAUAGAACAUAUGGGACAAAUUGCUCCUUUAAAAAAAAAAAAAAAAAAAAGGAACUACAACUCAAAACGUAAGAGUUUGAAAUAUCUUUAAUCUGAGAGGACGGAGAUGGUUAUUUCCUCCCGUAUCUGCCAAGGAUACGCACUCCCAUUUUAUAAACACAUCUCUGCUCUCUAGUACUCCUCAUGACAGACCCAACAAAGUAAUACUCAUUAGUGAGACCAAAAAACCCAGUCAUUUAGGUUAAGGGUCCUGCCUGAAGCUACACAUCAAGUCCACUUCCAAACGUCUGUUUUGCUAGCCCCUUAGAUCACCACCUACCCUUGCAACUAACAUGAGACCUUUCCCCAGCCCACUCCAAAACAACGUGCAUCUCAGCCUCACCAUCAUGAAACAAUCUGACAAAGUUUUUGUUUACACGGCACGUUCUGUGGCAAUACAAAAAAA
This is a non-coding RNA of Chelonoidis abingdonii (Abingdon island giant tortoise), 3602 nucleotides long. The record is from RefSeq and is a predicted model, not a curated record. NCBI's taxonomy places the organism in Eukaryota, Metazoa, Chordata, Testudines, Testudinidae.